UACGGGGGGGGCAAGCGUUGUUCGGAAUUACUGGGCGUAAAGGGCUCGUAGGCGGCCAACUAAGUCAGACGUGAAAUCCCUCGGCUUAACCGGGGAACUGCGUCUGAUACUGGUUGACUUGAAUCCGGGAGAGGGAUGUGGAAUUCCAGGUGUAGCGGUGAAAUGCGUAGAUAUCUGGAGGAACACCGGUGGCGAAGGCGGCAUCCUGGACCGGUAUUGACGCUGAGGAGCGAAAGCCAGGGGAGCAAACGGG
This 253-nucleotide ribosomal RNA is filed under the name uncultured bacterium. RNAcentral's name for it is "partial 16S ribosomal RNA". It matches the Rfam family "Bacterial small subunit ribosomal RNA", at positions 524 to 776 of the family's 1533-position model. The record is from RNAcentral.